RNAcentral lists this small nuclear RNA (74 nucleotides) under Pan troglodytes (chimpanzee). Lineage: Eukaryota; Metazoa; Chordata; Mammalia; Primates; Hominidae. The record is from RNAcentral.
GUGCUGGCUUUGGCAUCACCUAUACUAAAAUUGGAAUAAUACAGAGAAGAUGAACAUGGCUCCUGCUCAAGGAU